CCUGGUGGCUCAGAGGGUAAAGCGUCUACCUGCAAUGUGGGAGACCUGGGUUCGACCCCUGGGCCAGGA
RNAcentral lists this transfer RNA (69 nucleotides) under Bos taurus (domestic cattle). It matches the Rfam family "tRNA". From Rfam's summary of the family: Transfer RNA (tRNA) molecules are approximately 80 nucleotides in length. Their secondary structure includes four short double-helical elements and three loops (D, anti-codon, and T loops). Further hydrogen bonds mediate the characteristic L-shaped molecular structure. tRNAs have two regions of fundamental functional importance: the anti-codon, which is responsible for specific mRNA codon recognition, and the 3' end, to which the tRNAs corresponding amino acid is attached (by aminoacyl-tRNA synthetases). tRNAs cope with the degeneracy of the genetic code in two manners: having more than one tRNA (with a specific anti-codon) for a particular amino acid; and 'wobble' base-pairing, i.e. permitting non-standard base-pairing at the 3rd anti-codon position. RNAcentral also lists the same sequence under 5 other names. Lineage: Eukaryota; Metazoa; Chordata; Mammalia; Artiodactyla; Bovidae. The record is from Rfam by way of RNAcentral.